AGUGAGGUCGGCGCCCGCCAGUAACAAACAUGGCUCCCUGAAGCCGCUCAGGCUCAAGAGCAACAUGGAGGUCUGCACUUAAUCGCUCCUCUCCGGGGGCGGCCAUACCGAGGAGGCGUCUCUUCCGUGCAGGCAGGCUCUCCUGGGGACCUCAGAGAUUCUCUCCAGCGGCAGCGGAAAACGGACAAUGGGUGGAUUCGGGUCCAGAUUCUGGUAGGAGGGAGUUUGGGAUCGAGAUCUGGAAAAAAGCACUAGACUGGAAGAGGACGCGAUGGAGUCGGAGCCGCUGGCGGGGACAAAAACCAGAGGCCGGGGAAGGCGCCGGUGGGAGGCAAGGCACGGAUGGACUUUACCUGCGCACGCGUCGCAGCCAUCUCCGCGCACAGUGGUGGCCACCGCGACUGGUGCUGAAGUGUUGGCGCGUGCCGGGCGCUCCGCUGGGACCCGGGUUGCUGGCCCUGAGUCUCAGCUUUCUCAUCUGUACGGUUGGGACAAGUACAGUAACCCUCGCCCGUCAAGACGGGCCAGGGCUGUGGCGAGGGUCCACGCCUUAGAGCAGGCAGGAGUAGGGCUGAUUGGAGCCAUUGUACAGUGUCGGGAACAUACCAGGACACUGAGAAUAGUGUCAUGUCAUAAGGACCCAGAGCAGAUGGACCCUGCUGUGAUGCACAAAGAAAUCAAUGGAGCCUAUUCUUCCAAAUAAUCCUUAAAUAUUACUUAUCUCAACUGAGAUUUUGGUGAAAAUUUAGCUUUAGAGCUUUUAUUGACCUGCCAAUGACCUGAAGUUAAGAUUAUUCUUUUCUACUGAAUGAAGACAAACUACCUUAUAAAAAUUAACCCAGAAGGCUGUAGAGGGAUGAAAUGGGAUUUUGUUGGCACCAAGACCUGAUUGCUUUGCCAGUUACCCUCACCCCUGGCUCACAAGGAAAGUGUAUGGAGGAGAUUCUCGAGGAACCACAUGAGUUUUAAUAUCAUAAGCUUCUGCCCUGAAUUGAAAGAUAGCAGCAUUUUAAUCAUCUCUUCCAUUAAACCAAGAUUACACAAAAGCGUUUGAGGACACUGAGGACUGGGACUUCUAAUUUUGCUUCAGAAACCAGUACUCAAAAUGUCUGGUUUGGAGGAGCUGGGCUGCUUGGAUCAGAGGUUCCAUGGUCUGAACUACUCCACUCUGGUGAAGGUUUCUUCCCCAAAGCCACUCCUCAAGCUGACUUAUAUUGUACCUGAGUUGCAUGCCUGUGCUCCAAGAGCAGACGUCCUUCCGCAGGAGCAGGUCAUUAAGAGUCACUGCGUUGAUCAUGUAGAAGAGCUGUUUGAAUACCUGCAGGAUGAUCUCAGGGUCCAAGCCCUGGUCACACAUGACUGUAUGAAAGGCAUUCAUCUGGCGGAUGAUAGCUUCCAGGCGGUAUGAGUUAUCCCCAUCUGCCAUGCUGGAGGAGUGCUUCUGGGAG
Homo sapiens (human) is the source of this 1448-nucleotide long non-coding RNA. RefSeq annotates it as lncRNA negative regulator of fibroblast-like synoviocyte migration, SYNCRIP interacting. Lineage: Eukaryota; Metazoa; Chordata; Mammalia; Primates; Hominidae. The record is from RefSeq and is marked validated. The transcript is spliced from 6 exons.